Long non-coding RNA from Ceratitis capitata (Mediterranean fruit fly), 1037 nucleotides. RefSeq lists it as uncharacterized. NCBI's taxonomy places the organism in Eukaryota, Metazoa, Arthropoda, Insecta, Diptera, Tephritidae. The record is from RefSeq and is a predicted model, not a curated record. The transcript is spliced from 3 exons.
AUCAGGUCGAUCCCCAGGCCGCCUUAUCGGAAAAAUAGUUUCCACCUACAAGUAUUAACCUAGGAAACGGUCUACAUAUGUUCCAUUUAUCAAACAAAUCGGAUUUAUCUGAAAGAUCUUUCCCAGGUCAACUUUUAUAAUCUACACAAAGGAUAAAUCUCAAGCCUACUUACAAAUGCAAAUCUAAACGAGUUAUACUUUUCUGCCAAGCAACACAGACUACUGCCUUUCUACUUUGGCUACUUGCUUCUAUAUACAUAAAAAUAACAGAUAACGAUACAACACUGAGACUAUUGAAAUAUAUGCAGGUGACUCAAGAUUUAAUGAAAACUAUCCCGCCAAUGAAAUGAGUUUUCUAGAUUGAGAUCGGCGUUGCCAUGAAAACUCUAAAACACAUAAGAAGCAAGUCUUCAAGACAUAGAGUCCUUGUAGGGCUGAUGAAUUUCCCACGCAAGCUACAAACAACAAACAGGCAACCAUUUCAACCUAACCUAACCCAUUACGAAACUGUUAUCUGCCUCUCAAGUUUUUCUAUGAUUCAUGAGAGGCUGUUACUUUCAUGUACUAAACGAAUCACGAAGCGAGAAGAUGACUGCCGAGCGCCAAGUACUUCUUCUAUAGAUAAAUUAAGGGCUACAUACUGGGGAUAAACAACUUUAUCUCAUGCAUUGGUAUGCAGGAGUAAUGCUUGAUGAUGAGCUAUUGGCUUUGAAAGAGUUAUUUAAAGGAAAACUAAGGCAAAGCAAAAGCCAAGACAAAAUAAAAUCCAAAUUCAUCCGCUUUCUUCAAAUAUCGUAUUAGAGAAGAAAAAGAGAACAGUCACUUCACAAAGUCAUCACUUGAGGUGUUUAAGAAAUGAAAGCUUGGUCAUUAAAAAGACUAAUUUCUGGGUUAUUACUAUUCCCAACAUCCAUCUGGUCGGAUACAACGAGGCAACUGAGUACUUCGUUGAGUACUCCUGCCUGAUUCUAAGUAAAUAAACAAACUUGAGUGAUGUUUUGGCAUGCGGUGAAUAUUUUUAAGAUAAUCGCAAACGA